RNAcentral lists this transfer RNA (78 nucleotides) under Synergistetes bacterium ADurb.Bin155. RNAcentral describes it as "tRNA-Pro". It matches the Rfam family "tRNA". From Rfam's summary of the family: Transfer RNA (tRNA) molecules are approximately 80 nucleotides in length. Lineage: Bacteria; Thermotogati; Synergistota. The record is from RNAcentral. RNAcentral also lists the same sequence under 3 other names.
CGGGGCGUAGCGCAGCCUGGUUAGCGCGCCUGCUUCGGGAGCAGGAGGUCGGAGGUUCAAAUCCUCUCGCCCCGACCA